Long non-coding RNA from Cyprinodon tularosa, 324 nucleotides. RefSeq lists it as uncharacterized. The record is from RefSeq and is a predicted model, not a curated record. The transcript is spliced from 3 exons. NCBI's taxonomy places the organism in Eukaryota, Metazoa, Chordata, Actinopteri, Cyprinodontiformes, Cyprinodontidae.
GUUGAAGAAGAAGAAGAAGAAAGAAAAGAAAAAAGGCGGAAAAAAUGGAAAGCAGUAGCAGCGCCGGCAGUAGUAAGAUGGAGUACAUUUUUGAAUGGAGCAGGGAGCAGACAGAGGAGUUGAUAGAACUCCGUGGGCAAAAUGACCACCUUUUUACCGGCGCCAAAAAUACUGCUGCAGUCGGUUGGAGAACAAUCCUGCAGAAAAUGGGCCUGGAGGGAAAAGUUGAGCCACAACAGGCCAAACAAAAAUGGGACAACCUAAAAAAAAAAUACAAAGUAUGUUCAGGUUUGGAUAAUGUAAUGAAAUACACACACACACACA